AGCAGCCGCGGUAAUUCCAGCUCCAAUAGCGUAUAUUAAAGUUGCUGCAGUUAAAAAGCUCGUAGUUGAAUUUCGGGACUAAUAUGUCGGUCGUGCCUCGGUACGUACUGGUUUAUUGGUUUCUCCUUUCUGAAGAACCAUGAUGUCAUUUAUUUGGUGUCGUGGGGAAUCAGGACUGUUACUUUGAAAAAAUUAGAGUGUUUAAAGCAGGCUCACGCUUGAAUACAUUAGCAUGGAAUAAUGAAAUAGGACGUUUGAUUCUAUUUUGUUGGUUUCUAGGAUCGACGUAAUGAUUAAUAGGGAUAGUUGGGGGCAUUAGUAUUCAAUUGUCAGAGGUGAAAUUCUUGGAUUUAUUGAAGACUAACUACUGCGAAAGCAUUUGCCAAGGAUGUUUUCAUUAAUCAAGAACGAAAGUUAGGGGAUCGAAGACGAUCAGAUACCGUCGUAGUCUUAACCAUA
This 459-nucleotide ribosomal RNA is filed under the name uncultured Glomus. RNAcentral describes it as "SSU rRNA". It matches the Rfam family "Eukaryotic small subunit ribosomal RNA", at positions 569 to 1034 of the family's 1831-position model. The record is from RNAcentral. Lineage: Eukaryota; Fungi; Glomeromycota; Glomeromycetes; Glomerales; Glomeraceae.